Molecule: ribosomal RNA, 460 nt
Filed under: uncultured bacterium
Lineage: Bacteria
Description: partial 16S ribosomal RNA
Rfam family: Bacterial small subunit ribosomal RNA
Source: RNAcentral
CCUACGGGUGGCAGCAGUGAGGAAUAUUGGUCAAUGGGCGCAAGCCUGAACCAGCCAAGUCGCGUGAGGGAUGAAGGUCCUAUGGAUUGUAAACCUCUUUUGUCGGGGAGCAAGGCCCGCCACGUGUGGCGGGAAGGAGAGUACCCGAAGAAAAAGCAUCGGCUAACUCGGUGCCAGCAGCCGCGGUAAUACGGGGGAUGCGAGCGUUAUCCGGAUUUAUUGGGUGUACAGGGUGCGUAGGCGGAAGGUUAAGUCAGCGGUAAAAUGGCGGUGCUCAACACCGGCCUGCCGUUGAAACUGGUCUUCUUGAGUGAGCGAGAGGUAUGCGGAAUGCGUGGUGUAGCGGUGAAAUGCAUAGAUAUCACGCAGAACUCCGAUGGCGAAGGCAGCAUACCGGCGCUCAACUGACGCUGAGGCACGAAAGCGUGGGGAUCGAACAGGAUUAGAUACCCGAGUAGUC